RNAcentral lists this ribosomal RNA (1102 nucleotides) under Parasacculina yatsui. RNAcentral's name for it is "partial 16S ribosomal RNA". The record is from RNAcentral. Lineage: Eukaryota; Metazoa; Arthropoda; Thecostraca; Polyascidae.
UUUUUUUUUUUUUAAUAUUAUCUCGAAUUACUUUGAUCUAAGUUAUUAUUAUUUUUAUUGUUGCAUAAUUAUUUUAUAUUUUAAUUUAGUUGUGAAAUGUUAUUUCGCUUAGUAGGAUAUCUAGUUACCUUAAAAAUAUUUAUAUAAUAGAAUUUAAUUUUUUUAUGUUUUUAAAUUAGUUGAUAUAAUUUGGUUAAUUUAUGUAUAAGUGACUUUAAUUUUUGUAAUAAUUUUAUAUUUAAUUUAUAGUUUUUAUAUUGUUUAAUAACAUCUUAUUUUUAUUUAUAUUAUUUAUUUGUUACUAUAGAUUCUUAUUAGGUAAAAUUUUUAAUUAAAUUUUUUGUUUUUAAAUGAUUAUAUUAGUAUAUUAAUAAUUUUGUUAUAUUUAUAUAAGAUAUCUUGUUAUAGGUAUUUAGAUUUUUAAUAAUUUUAAAUUACAUGAUUUUAAAUAAUUAGGCAACAUUUAAAUUGAAUGUUUAUCAAAAACAUUUCUUUUUGGUUUAAAAAGUAAGAUCUGCUCACUGAUAACUAAAGAGCUGCAAUAUUCUUAAUUGUGCUAAGGUAGCAAAAUAAUUUGUUUAUUAAUUGUAAACUGGAAUGAAAGAUUUAACAUAUUUAUAUCUUUUUUGAUUUUAUAUAUAAAAUUUAUUUUUAAAGUGCAAAAACUUUAAUGAUUUUAAUAGAGGAUAAGACCCUAAGAAUUUAUUUUCUGUUUUUAUUUAAAAUUUAUUUUUUUUUAAUUAGUUGGGGUGACUAGUAGAUUUUUAAAUUCUAUUUUUUUGUAUACUGUAUCAGUUUGUUUGAAUAUUGAUAUUUAAAAGUUCAAUUACCUUAGGGAUAACAGCGUUAUACUCAUUUAUAGUUCUUAUAGGAAUGUGUGUUUGCGACCUCGAUGUUGGAUUAAGUUUAAUUUUGGAGUAUAAACUAAAAAUACAAGUCUGUUCGACUUUUAGAAACUUACAUGAUCUGAGUUCAAACCGGUGUAAGCCAGGUUGGUUUCUAUCUUUAAAUUUAUUAUUGAUUAUUUUAGUACGAAAGGAUUUUAUAAUUAAAUUGUAUUUUAUUUACAGAGUUUCAUAACUUUAUUAUAUAAAAAAAAAAA